This 376-nucleotide ribosomal RNA is filed under the name uncultured bacterium. RNAcentral's name for it is "bacterial SSU rRNA". It matches the Rfam family "Bacterial small subunit ribosomal RNA", at positions 485 to 859 of the family's 1533-position model. The record is from RNAcentral.
AGAAAGCUCCGGCUAACUCCGUGCCAGCAGCCGCGGUAAUACGGGGGGAGCAAGCGUUGUCCGGAUUUAUUGGGCGUAAAGAGCGUGUAGGCGGGCCGAAAAGUCGGUGGUGAAAUCUCUCGGCUUAACUGAGAAUCUGCCGUCGAUACUGUCGGUCUUGAGUAUGGAAGAGGGAAGCGGAAUUCCUGGUGUAGCGGUGAAAUGCGUAGAUAUCAGGAAGAACACCAGUAGCGUAGGCGGCUUCCUGGUCCGUUACUGACGCUAAAACGCGAAAGCGUGGGGAGCAAACAGGAUUAGAUACCCUGGUAGUCCACGCCGUAAACGAUGGGUACUAGGUGUUGGAGGUUUUGACCCCUUCAGUGCCGAAGCUAACGCA